Callithrix jacchus (white-tufted-ear marmoset) is the source of this 1846-nucleotide non-coding RNA. NCBI's taxonomy places the organism in Eukaryota, Metazoa, Chordata, Mammalia, Primates, Cebidae. The record is from RefSeq and is a predicted model, not a curated record.
AAAGGGAGUUCUGAGUUCCAGUCCUGCAGGGAGCGCCGGGAGGCGCAGAGCGCAGCGAGCUCCCCAGGGCCCUCCAAGCCCUCCGGCCCCUGUCCUGCGAGUGAGCCGGGGGGGCCCCUGGACAGGCCAUGCCCUCUGCCCUUCAGACACGGAGGCCUCCGCUGUGGCUGCCCACUGGCCAGGCACAGGCCUUGAAGCCGUGGCGAACCUCUCUACCCGACCCCACUUCGGUGACUGAUGGCGGCGGCGGUUUCUCCCAGCCCGUACCCCAGCCUAGACCUUGAUGGCCACUGGGUCUCCCGGCCCAGGCCUCGAUGAAGCUCCAGCUGAGCUGCCGGGAUGCAACGCCUUUGGUAGGCGGCGGGAGUGGCGGGCCAGGAAACAUGGCGGCCGCUUGACUGCUGCGCAGCGGAGGCUGUUAGGUCAUGGAGGGCCUGGGAAGGCGGCCUAAGGACGCAGGCAGGCUUGGCCGCCUCUUUAGGCCACGGAGCCUUGCAGGUCCGGGUCCCCAGUGACCACUCUGUCCCCAUUGGGCGAGACCUACCUAGUCCUGACGACAACGGACAAAGGCCUAAACAGGCCUGGGAGGUGAGCGAAGUUCCGAACGGUUAGCGGCCAUCGGGGGGUUAGUCUGCAUUCUACCAGACCUUGCUGACCUUGCUGUCGGAAGAGAGAAAUGGUAGAAUGACAGGCCACUUUUGGCCCGUUGGAAAUGCCCGCCACCCUCUGAGAAGAUUUACUGGCCGUUUAUGGAAGGCCUGUGUAUAUAAUAUGAAAAAGCUGCUCUCAACUCCACCCCGAUCUUUUAAUAGAAAACAUUUGUCACAUCUAGCCCUUCUAGAUGUAACGAGGUUGCCCACAUGUGAUAAAGUAGACUUAGGAAACCACACAUCUUGUAAAUUCUCAUUUGUUUAAAAGAAAUCGUAGAAAAUACAUGUCUUCUGUAAAUGACUUUUGGAAACGGAGUUGUUAGAUGGCCUCUGGAAGCGGAUCUGGUCAUUAAAGGUGUGAAGCACCUCCCCACUCUCUCUCUCUUGCUCCUGCUGUGGCUAUGUGAAGUGCCUGCUUCCUCUUCACCUUCUGCCAUGAUUGUAAGUUUCCUGAAGACUCUCCAGAAGUUGAGAAGAUGCCAGCAUCAUGCUUCCUGUACAGCCCGCAGAAUUGUCACUCUUCUGCCAUACCAUCCUGGACUGGCUAGAGGAGAAAUUACUUGACUGAUGAAGAUAUGGAAGGAGUACUUUGUGAACAUUGGAAGCAGGCCUAAUUGUAGGACCAGCUGGAGAAGAUACCCUAAAAUAAAUUUCAGUCACACAGGAAUUUUAAAAAGAAAAGAAUGCCUUCCUUUCCCAACUUACGGUCUUCUGCUAACUUAUUGUAAUAUCCUCAUGGUCUUAAAACAUCAAACAUGAGAGCCAAAUUAUGUUCAGCGGAGUCUUAGGCAACAACCACAUUAUGUAUAAUAUAGACCAUGAUAUCAUGGCUGACUCAAUAUAAUUACACCCUUGCUCAUAAACCCUAUCUUUCUCUCUAGGUAUUCAAAGCACAUGAUAGACAUGAUCUUGUUGCUUUUCCCAACACAUUUGCCAGGUAGACAGGAAGCAGGUAUCAUUAUUGUCUUCGUCUCAAGUAGAUAAAGAUAGCUUUCCUGGGAACUAUUUGCUCAAAGCCCCAUUGGCAAUAAGAACUACUGGACAGAAAAUGGCUGGAGUCCUAAUUUAAAAAACAGACUUCCUGCUGAGGCAACUUCAGGUCACAAUACUGGGAUAUUUCUAAUUUCAGGGAUUCUUAAAUGGGGGCACAACGGGUUUUUUUCCUUUAUUUGUGGGUGUUUAAUAAAAUCAAGGCA